RNAcentral lists this ribosomal RNA (36 nucleotides) under Vigna angularis (adzuki bean). Its description in RNAcentral is "partial small subunit ribosomal RNA". The record is from RNAcentral. RNAcentral also lists the same sequence under 1 other name. Lineage: Eukaryota; Viridiplantae; Streptophyta; Magnoliopsida; Fabales; Fabaceae.
GGUUUCCGUAGGUGAACCUGCGGAAGGAUCAUUGUC